This 972-nucleotide long non-coding RNA is filed under the name Polistes fuscatus (common paper wasp). RNAcentral describes it as "uncharacterized LOC122526406". The record is from RNAcentral. Lineage: Eukaryota; Metazoa; Arthropoda; Insecta; Hymenoptera; Vespidae.
CAAAAAAGAAAGCGAAUUGACUAAAGUCUAGACAGAAAUAUCUUGAUUCUUGGCACAGAGGAAUGAGUACGAUAAACGAUCAAUUGACCUUUUAAAGGUAACACGAGCAACCACUACUACCACCACCAACCACUACCACCACCAUUACCAUCACUUUCUUUUAGUAAGUUUAAUAUAUAGUCUCGGAGAAUACGCGAGAACGAAUUCGAAUGAUAUGUUAAAACGUAUUACUACUCACAAUGUAAUUCGAAGAGUAUAUCAACGAGUAUAAGAGAGACAGGUAGAGAGAAAUAAUAAAAAGGAGAAGGGGAGAGAAAGAGAGAGAAAAAAAGAAAGAGAGAAUGAUAUCACUCCUCGGGAGGAACGAUCAGCAGGGACUAAGAGAGGAACUACGCCCGUCAAGAGAUGCAUUAUCGAUCUAGUCUGGAGCCACCUUCUCUAGCUCCGUCCCUGGCACCACCCACCCACCUGUGCACCACCGUAUAGCAACAGUCGCACCUCAUUUCCCGUAGAAACGACCACCCAUGUCCCAGGGAUUGAUCCUUAUCGAAGAGAUGCGCAGCAGGAAACAACCCAUUGUUGGGGGCGGAAGGGGAGGGGCAGGCACUCCUAACGGCAGCGUAGGGCUUAAUGCUCCUCGUCGUCGUCGUCGUCGUCGUCGUCUGUGACGUAUGCUUGGAGAAACAGGCUUAAGGGAUGUUCAAAAAAGGAACCGCCCACGCGAAGAACACACUCGCUUAACUCGUUAUCCGACUCUUAAUACCAACUUCUCUGUAUUACUACUACUACUACCAUCAUCAUCACCAGUACCACCACUACCACCACCAUUGCUACCACAAAUGCGAUAACAUAUAUGAAGAGAAAUUGUUGUAGGAAUUUCGAAGAAGCGACUAAUAAAACUGCACAAGUGUAUCAAAGAUAUGUGUAUAUGUAUAUAUAUACCUUUGAUAUACCUCUAUGCAUAUAGAUAUA